RNAcentral lists this ribosomal RNA (253 nucleotides) under uncultured prokaryote. RNAcentral's name for it is "partial 16S ribosomal RNA". It matches the Rfam family "Bacterial small subunit ribosomal RNA", at positions 524 to 776 of the family's 1533-position model. The record is from RNAcentral.
UACGGAGGGUGCAAGCGUUAAUCGGAAUUACUGGGCGUAAAGCGCACGCAGGCGGUUUGUUAAGUCAGAUGUGAAAUCCCCGGGCUCAACCUGGGAACUGCAUCUGAUACUGGCAAGCUUGAGUCUCGUAGAGGGGGGUAGAAUUCCAGGUGUAGCGGUGAAAUGCGUAGAGAUCUGGAAGAACACCGAUGGCGAAGGCAGCCCCCUGGGCCAACACUGACGCUCAGGCACGAAAGCGUGGGGAGCAAACAGG